RNAcentral lists this ribosomal RNA (897 nucleotides) under uncultured Gammaproteobacteria bacterium. RNAcentral describes it as "bacterial SSU rRNA". It matches the Rfam family "Bacterial small subunit ribosomal RNA", at positions 28 to 916 of the family's 1533-position model. Lineage: Bacteria; Pseudomonadati; Pseudomonadota; Gammaproteobacteria. The record is from RNAcentral.
AUUGAACGCUGGCGGUAUGCUUAACACAUGCAAGUCGAACGCGAAAGGCACCUUCGGGAGCUGAGUAGAGUGGCGGACGGGUGAGUAACGCGUAGGAAUCUGCCUAGUAGUGGGGGAUAGCCCGGAGAAAUCCGGAUUAAUACCGCAUACGCCCUACGGGGGAAAGAUGGCCUCUUCUUGAAAGCUAUCACUAUUAGAUGAGCCUGCGUCGGAUUAGCUGGUUGGUGAGGUAAUGGCUCACCAAGGCGACGAUCCGUAGCUGGUCUGAGAGGACGAUCAGCCACACUGGGACUGAGACACGGCCCAGACUCCUACGGGAGGCAGCAGUGGGGAAUAUUGGACAAUGAGCGAAAGCUUGAUCCAGCAAUACCGCGUGUGUGAAGAAGGCCUGCGGGUUGUAAAGCACUUUCAGUGGGGAAGAAAAGCUUAAGGUUAAUACCCUUGAGUCUUGACGUUACCUACAGAAGAAGCACCGGCUAACUCCGUGCCAGCAGCCGCGGUAAUACGGAGGGUGCAAGCGUUAAUCGGAAUUACUGGGCGUAAAGCGCGCGUAGGCGGUUUGGUCAGUCAGAUGUGAAAGCCCUGGGCUCAACCUGGGAACUGCAUUUGAUACUGCCAAGCUAGAGUAUGGUAGAGGGAAGUGGAAUUCCGGGUGUAGCGGUGAAAUGCGUAGAUAUCCGGAGGAACACCAGUGGCGAAGGCGACUUCCUGGACCAAUACUGACGCUGAGGUGCGAAAGCGUGGGUAGCAAACAGGAUUAGAUACCCUGGUAGUCCACGCCGUAAACGAUGUCAACUAGCCGUUGGGGCCAUUUAAGGCUUUAGUGGCGCAGCUAACGCGAUAAGUUGACCGCCUGGGGAGUACGGUCGCAAGAUUAAAACUCAAAGGAAUUGACGG